Molecule: long non-coding RNA, 734 nt
Organism: Talpa occidentalis (Iberian mole)
Lineage: Eukaryota; Metazoa; Chordata; Mammalia; Eulipotyphla; Talpidae
Exons: 5
Source: RefSeq, a predicted model, not a curated record
GAUCUCCAGAUACUUUUUCUAACCUCAUUGUGUGCCAUCUGUCUUAGAAAAGACCAUCCUUUAAAGCUGACUGAUAGCCGCUGAUGCCAAAGAUAUGAAGAAAAGUAUUUCUGAAAUCAGCCUGCCCUGCAGAUGUUAAGGGACAUUAGAUGCAAGUCACUAGCAAGCCUUGGGCAGCAGAACAAUGCACGGAAUCCCUACUUCAGUGAAUUGAACCCUGAAGAGAUUAUGUCCAAGGUCACACAUCUGGGAAUGGGGAGGCCAGGAUUCACACCCAGGAGCCUGUGACUCUGAAGGGAGAUGUCGUAAGUGGAAGUUCGGGAGAAGACACUGCAGCCGUAAGCCUGAGGGCCAUCAUGUGCCUAUGGGUAUGGAGACCUCCUCCCCUCACUUGCCAGCUGUGUGAUGUUGAUGAGUUGCUUUACCUCUGUGAGCCUCAAUUUCCAUCUCUUUAAAAGGAAAAGGCGAGACGAUGUGACUGAGUUCUGGGUCAGUUAACUGUCCAUGGAAGAGAUGUGUGCUGCUUUCAGGCUUGGUCCACAAAGUGAGAUCCAACCCAUUUCCUUCCCUGCCUGCAAGUCAGAGGCAGAAGAUCUGACAGAGAACUUCAAAAUUCAGGGGAGGGACAGCGUCUUGUGUGGUCAAGAGCCUGGGUCACAGAAUGACUGAAUGGAUCAGAUCCUCCUCCCCCUCCUUUAAUGUGGGUAAGAAAUAAACAUGGGCUGUGUAAAGUU